AGCGGGGUAGGGUAGUCAGGAUAACCCGUCGGGUUCAUAUCCCGAAAAUCAGAGGUUCAAAUCCUCUCCCCGCUA
This 75-nucleotide transfer RNA is filed under the name Bacteroidota bacterium. RNAcentral describes it as "Bacteroidetes bacterium (marine metagenome) tRNA-Met". It matches the Rfam family "tRNA". From Rfam's summary of the family: Transfer RNA (tRNA) molecules are approximately 80 nucleotides in length. Their secondary structure includes four short double-helical elements and three loops (D, anti-codon, and T loops). Further hydrogen bonds mediate the characteristic L-shaped molecular structure. tRNAs have two regions of fundamental functional importance: the anti-codon, which is responsible for specific mRNA codon recognition, and the 3' end, to which the tRNAs corresponding amino acid is attached (by aminoacyl-tRNA synthetases). tRNAs cope with the degeneracy of the genetic code in two manners: having more than one tRNA (with a specific anti-codon) for a particular amino acid; and 'wobble' base-pairing, i.e. permitting non-standard base-pairing at the 3rd anti-codon position. Lineage: Bacteria; Pseudomonadati; Bacteroidota. The record is from RNAcentral.